RNAcentral lists this ribosomal RNA (1854 nucleotides) under human gut metagenome. Its description in RNAcentral is "bacterial LSU rRNA". It matches the Rfam family "Bacterial large subunit ribosomal RNA", at positions 248 to 2125 of the family's 2925-position model. The record is from RNAcentral.
GGCGAGCGAAGCGGGAAGAGCCCAAACCAGUUUCGGCUGGGGUUCGGACACUCACCAGGUAAGGGAAGGUUAGUCGAAUGGCAUGGGAAGGCCAGCCACAGACGGUUAGAGCCCAGUAGACGAAAACCCGAACUUAUAGAGUGUAUCCAGAGUACCACGAAGCACGUGGAAUUUCGUGGGAAAGAGCGGGGACCACCCCGUAAGGCUAAAUACUCCUUAGCGACCGAUAGAGAACAAGUACCGUGAGGGAAAGGUGAAAAGCACCUCGGAAGAGGAGUGAAAGAGAACCUGAAACCGCAUGCUUACAAUCAGUCACAGCUCCAUAAGAGAGUAGUGGCGUACUUUUUGUAGAACGGACCGGCGAGUUACGUUAACAAGCGAGGUUAAGGAAACGGAGCCAAAGCGAAAGCGAGUCUGAAUAGGGCGAAAGUUUGUUGACGUAGACCCGAAACCAGGUGAUCUACCCAUGAGCAGGUUGAAGCGUUGGUAAAACAACGUGGAGGACCGAACCAGGGAUCGUUGAAAAGAUCUUGGAUGACUUGUGGGUAGGGGUGAAAUUCCAAUCGAACCUGGAGAUAGCUGGUUCUCCUCGAAAUAGCUUUAGGGCUAGCCUUAUUCUUAGUUUAACGAAGGUAGAGCACUGAAUGGGUACGGGGGCUUCACCGCCUACCAAACCUUAUCAAACUCCGAAUGUCGUUAAGCAUGAAUAGGAGUCAGACCAUGGGGGAUAAGCUUCAUGGUCAAAAGGGAAAGAGCCCAGACCGCCGUCUAAGGUCCCAAAAUCAUUGUUAAGUGGAAAAGGAUGUGAAAUCGCUUAGACAACCAGGAUGUUGGCUUAGAAGCAGCCACCAUUAAAAGAGUGCGUAAUAGCUCACUGGUCCAGGGGUUUUGCGCCGAAAAUGUAACGGGGCUCAAACAAUGUACCGAAGACGCGGAAUUACGAAUGUAAUUGGUAGAGGAGCGUUCUCAUUGGGGAGAAGCGAUACCGAGAGGAGUCGUGGACUAAUGAGAAGAGAGAAUGCCGGUAUAAGUACACGAUAAGGCAGGUGAGAAUCCUGCCCGCCGGAAGUCUAAGGGUUCCUGGGGAAGGCUCGUCCACCCAGGGUAAGUCGGGGCCUAAGGCAAGGCCGAAAGGCGUAGUCGAUGGGAAACAGGUAGAUAUUCCUGUACCACCGCUAUAUGAUGACGACGCAGUGACGCAGAAAGGUAGAGCGAGCGGCCAGUUGGUGAGCCGUUCAAGUGAGUAGGGUGUUUGGUAGGCAAAUCCGCCAAACGGAAGCCUGAGACACGAUGACGAGUGAAAAAUAGUAACGAAGUCCUUGAUCCUCCGCUGCCAAGAAAAGCUGCUAAGGAAUAUAGAGGUGCCCGUACCGCAAACCGACACAGGUAGACAGGUAGAGAAUACUAAGGCGCGCGAGAUAACUCUUGUUAAGGAACUCUGCAAAAUGAACCCGUAACUUCGGGAGAAGGGUUGCUGACCAUGGUGAGUAUGGACAAUACAGAGCUGAGGUCAGUCGCAGUGAAAAGGUCCAGGCGACUGUUUAGCAAAAACACAGGUCAUUGCAAAAUCGCAAGAUGAAGUAUAAUGGCUGACGCCUGCCCGGUGCUGGAAGGUUAAGGGGAAGAGUGCAAGCUUUGAACCGAAGCCCCAGUAAACGGCGGCCGUAACUAUAACGGUCCUAAGGUAGCGAAAUUCCUUGUCGGGUAAGUUCCGACCCGCACGAAAGGCGAAACGAUCUGGACGCUGUCUCAACAAGGGACUCGGUGAAAUUGAAAUUCCGGUAAAGAUGCCGGAUACCUGCGAUAGGACAGAAAGACCCCAUGGAGCUUUACUGUAGCCUGAUAUUGGGUUUC